Molecule: ribosomal RNA, 492 nt
Filed under: Halobacillus sp.
Lineage: Bacteria; Bacillati; Bacillota; Bacilli; Caryophanales; Bacillaceae
Description: bacterial SSU rRNA
Rfam family: Bacterial small subunit ribosomal RNA
Source: RNAcentral
AUGAGUUUGAUCGUGGCUCAGGACGAACGCUGGCGGCGUGCCUAAUACAUGCAAGUCGAGCGCGGGAAGCGAGCUGAUCCCUUCGGGGUGACGCUCGUGGAACGAGCGGCGGACGGGUGAGUAACACGUGGGCAACCUGCCUGUAAGAUCGGGAUAACUCCGGGAAACCGGGGCUAAUACCGGGUAAUACUUUCUUUCGCAUGAAGGAAAGUUGAAAGAUGGCUUCUCGCUAUCACUUACAGAUGGGCCCGCGGCGCAUUAGCUAGUUGGUGAGGUAACGGCUCACCAAGGCGACGAUGCGUAGCCGACCUGAGAGGGUGAUCGGCCACACUGGGACUGAGACACGGCCCAGACUCCUACGGGAGGCAGCAGUAGGGAAUCUUCCGCAAUGGACGAAAGUCUGACGGAGCAACGCCGCGUGAACGAUGAAGGUCUUCGGAUCGUAAAGUUCUGUUGUUAGGGAAGAACAAGUACCGUGCGAAUAGAGCGGUA